This 255-nucleotide ribosomal RNA is filed under the name uncultured bacterium. Its description in RNAcentral is "partial 16S ribosomal RNA". It matches the Rfam family "Bacterial small subunit ribosomal RNA", at positions 99 to 354 of the family's 1533-position model. The record is from RNAcentral.
CGGACGGGUGAGUAACGCGUGAGGAACCUGCCUCAGAGAGGGGGAUAACACACCGAAAGGUGUGCUAAUACCGCAUAACAUAUGAGAGGGGCAUCCCUUUUAUAUCAAAGAUUUAUUGCUCUGAGAUGGCCUCGCGUCCAAUUAGCUAGUUGGUGAGGUAACGGCCCACCAAGGCGACGAUUGGUAGCCGGACUGAGAGGUUGAACGGCCACAUUGGGAUUGAGACACGGCCCAGACUCCUACGGAAGGCAGCAG